RNAcentral lists this ribosomal RNA (730 nucleotides) under uncultured bacterium. Its description in RNAcentral is "bacterial SSU rRNA". It matches the Rfam family "Bacterial small subunit ribosomal RNA", at positions 62 to 803 of the family's 1533-position model. The record is from RNAcentral.
UCGAACGGACUCAUAUUGAAACCUAGUGAUUUAUGAGUUAGUGGCGGACGGGUGAGUAACGCGUGGAUAACCUGCCGUAUACCGGGGGAUAACACUUAGAAAUAGGUGCUAAUACCGCAUAAGCGCACGGCUCCGCAUGGGGCAGUGUGAAAAACUCCGGUGGUAUACGAUGGAUCCGCGUCUGAUUAGCUAGUUGGCGGGGUAACGGCCCACCAAGGCAGCGAUCAGUAGCCGGCCUGAGAGGGUGGACGGCCACAUUGGGACUGAGACACGGCCCAAACUCCUACGGGAGGCAGCAGUGGGGAAUAUUGCACAAUGGGGGAAACCCUGAUGCAGCGACGCCGCGUGAGUGAAGAAGUAUCUCGGUACGUAAAGCUCUAUCAGCAGGGAAGAAAAUGACGGUACCUGACUAAGAAGCCCCGGCUAACUACGUGCCAGCAGCCGCGGUAAUACGUAGGGGGCAAGCGUUAUCCGGAUUUACUGGGUGUAAAGGGAGCGUAGACGGCAGCACAAGUCUGGAGUGAAAUCCCGGGGCUUAACCCCGGAACUGCUUUGGAAACUGUGCGGCUGGAGUGCAGGAGGGGUAAGCGGAAUUCCUAGUGUAGCGGUGAAAUGCGUAGAUAUUAGGAGGAACACCGGUGGCGAAGGCGGCUUACUGGACUGUAACUGACGUUGAGGCUCGAAAGCGUGGGGAGCAAACAGGAUUAGAUACCCUGGUAGUCCACGCCGU